RNAcentral lists this transfer RNA (74 nucleotides) under Hyphomonas sp. RNAcentral describes it as "tRNA-Cys". It matches the Rfam family "tRNA". From Rfam's summary of the family: Transfer RNA (tRNA) molecules are approximately 80 nucleotides in length. Their secondary structure includes four short double-helical elements and three loops (D, anti-codon, and T loops). The record is from RNAcentral. Lineage: Bacteria; Pseudomonadati; Pseudomonadota; Alphaproteobacteria; Hyphomonadales; Hyphomonadaceae. RNAcentral also lists the same sequence under 5 other names.
GGCUCUGUGGCGGAGUGGUCACGCAGCGGAUUGCAAAUCCGUGUACGCCGGUUCGAUUCCGGCCGGAGCCUCCA